GACGAACGCUGGCGGCGCGCUUAACACAUGCAAGUCGAACGGAAAGGCCUGCUUUCCCUUGUGGAUUGCGGGUACUCGAGUGGCGAACGGGUGAGUAACACGUGAGUGAUCUGCCCCCAACUUGGGUAUAAGCCUGGGAAACUGGGUCUAAUUCCCGAUAGGACUGCAGGGUGGUGCCUGUGGUGGAAAACGAUUUUCUAGUGGUUGGGGAUGAGCUCGCGGCCUAUCAGCUUGUUGGUGGGGUAAUGGCCUACCAAGGCGGCGACGGGUAGCCGGCCUGGGAGGGUGGACGGCCAAAGUGGAGCUGAGAUACGGGCCAGACUCCUACGGGAGGCAGCAGUGGGGAAUAUGGCACAAUGGGCGGAAGCCUGAUGCAGCGACGCCGCGUGGGGGAUGACGGCCUUCGGGUUGUAAACUCCUUUCGACCGCGAGGAAGCCACCUGGUUGGAAGGGUGGUGACGGUAGUGGUAGAAGAAGCACCGGCUAACUACGUG
Molecule: ribosomal RNA, 494 nt
Filed under: uncultured bacterium
Lineage: Bacteria
Description: partial 16S ribosomal RNA
Rfam family: Bacterial small subunit ribosomal RNA
Source: RNAcentral